Molecule: long non-coding RNA, 440 nt
Filed under: Ananas comosus (pineapple)
Lineage: Eukaryota; Viridiplantae; Streptophyta; Magnoliopsida; Poales; Bromeliaceae
Description: long non-coding RNA (ACOM_LNC024688)
Source: RNAcentral
AAAAAAAAAUUAUGUAAACAAUAGGUUAUUUAUAAAGUGGAAUAAAAUUAUGAUAUUGAUUUCUAGUGAUAGACAAGUUUUUUACCUAGCAUUUGAGCUGUUGGAAAAAAAAAUACAGUAACAAUUCAAUUGUGAUUAACUAUUUAACAAUUUUAUAAUUAAUUUAAAUAAUAAAUUUACAGUUAAAUGCCAUGAAUAUUUCAAAAAUUAUUCAAAAAGAAAGAAAAAAUUAGAUCAAUCUGGAAGCGCGCGUAGCACUGCCCUAAGUUGUAUUCCCGUAUUUCAUGCAGGAUUAACUGAAAACACCGCUCUAAGAUACGAUCAGAAUUUCUCUUCCUGCAAGUAUGAAUAUAAAAGAGAUUGACAAAGACUCUUUCAAUAACCGACAAUAAAAAAAUUAAAUAAGGAGAAUAGAAUAAUAAAGACAUGAAAAUAUCUCU